This 274-nucleotide ribosomal RNA is filed under the name uncultured bacterium. Its description in RNAcentral is "partial 16S ribosomal RNA". It matches the Rfam family "Bacterial small subunit ribosomal RNA", at positions 523 to 796 of the family's 1533-position model. The record is from RNAcentral.
AUACGGAGGGUGCAAGCGUUACUCGGAAUCACUGGGCGUAAAGCGCGCGCAGGCGGCCAUUUAAGUUGGAUGUGAAAGCCUACGGCUCAACCGUAGAACUGCAUCCAAAACUAUUUGGCUAGAGUGUGCGAGAGGAAGAUGGAAUUAGUUGUGUAGGGGUAAAAUCCGUAGAGAUAACUAGGAAUACCAAAAGCGAAGGCAAUCUUCUGGAACAUUACUGACGCUGAGGCGCGAAAGCGUGGGGAGCAAACAGAAUUAGAUACCCUAGUAGUCC